UACGAAGGGGGCUAGCGUUGCUCGGAAUCACUGGGCGUAAAGGGUGCGUAGGCGGGUCUUUUAAGUCAGGGGUGAAAUCCUGGAGCUCAACUCCAGAACUGCCUUUGAUACUGAAGAUCUUGAGUUCGGGAGAGGUGAGUGGAACCGCGAGUGUAGAGGUGAAAUUCGUAGAUAUUCGCAAGAACACCAGUGGCGAAGGCGGCUCACUGGCCCGAUACUGACGCUGAGGCACGAAAGCGUGGGGAGCAAACAGG
RNAcentral lists this ribosomal RNA (254 nucleotides) under uncultured bacterium. RNAcentral's name for it is "partial 16S ribosomal RNA". It matches the Rfam family "Bacterial small subunit ribosomal RNA", at positions 524 to 776 of the family's 1533-position model. The record is from RNAcentral.